ACGGGGGGCCUACGGGAGGCAGCAGUGGGGAAUAUUGCACAAUGGGCGCAAGCCUGAUGCAGCCGUGCCGCGUGUAUGAAGAAGGCCUUCGGGUUGUAAAGUACUUUCAGCGGGGAGGAAGGUGUUGAGGUUAAUAACCUCAGCAAUUGACGUUACCCGCAGAAGAAGCACCGGCUAACUCCGUGCCAGCAGCCGCGGUAAU
This 202-nucleotide ribosomal RNA is filed under the name Enterobacter cloacae. Its description in RNAcentral is "partial 16S ribosomal RNA". It matches the Rfam family "Bacterial small subunit ribosomal RNA", at positions 330 to 524 of the family's 1533-position model. Lineage: Bacteria; Pseudomonadati; Pseudomonadota; Gammaproteobacteria; Enterobacterales; Enterobacteriaceae. The record is from RNAcentral.